RNAcentral lists this transfer RNA (63 nucleotides) under Prosopocoilus laterotarsus. RNAcentral describes it as "tRNA-Gly". Lineage: Eukaryota; Metazoa; Arthropoda; Insecta; Coleoptera; Lucanidae. The record is from RNAcentral. RNAcentral also lists the same sequence under 1 other name.
ACUUGCAUAAUAUAAAUAAUUAUAUUUGACUUCCAAUUAAAAAAUCUAGAAAUAGUGCAAGUA